GACGAACGCUGGCGGCGUGCUUAACACAUGCAAGUCGAACGGAAAGGCCCUGCUUUUGUGGGGUGCUCGAGUGGCGAACGGGUGAGUAACACGUGAGUAACCUGCCCUUGACUUUGGGAUAACUUCAGGAAACUGGGGCUAAUACCGGAUAGGAGCUCCUGCUGCAUGGUGGGGGUUGGAAAGUUUCGGCGGUUGGGGAUGGACUCGCGGCUUAUCAGCUUGUUGGUGGGGUAGUGGCUUACCAAGGCUUUGACGGGUAGCCGGCCUGAGAGGGUGACCGGCCACAUUGGGACUGAGAUACGGCCCAGACUCCUACGGGAGGCAGCAGUGGGGAAUAUUGCCCAGUGGGCGGAAGCCUGAUGCAGCAACGCCGCGUGCGGGAUGACGGCCUUCGGGUUGUAAACCGCUUUCGCCUGUGACGAAGCGUGAGUGACGGUAAUGGGUAAAGAAGCACCGGCUAACUACGUG
This 468-nucleotide ribosomal RNA is filed under the name uncultured bacterium. RNAcentral describes it as "partial 16S ribosomal RNA". It matches the Rfam family "Bacterial small subunit ribosomal RNA", at positions 28 to 507 of the family's 1533-position model. The record is from RNAcentral.